This 2902-nucleotide ribosomal RNA is filed under the name Klebsiella pneumoniae. RNAcentral's name for it is "23S ribosomal RNA". It matches the Rfam family "Bacterial large subunit ribosomal RNA". The record is from RNAcentral. Lineage: Bacteria; Pseudomonadati; Pseudomonadota; Gammaproteobacteria; Enterobacterales; Enterobacteriaceae.
GGUUAAGCGACUAAGCGUACACGGUGGAUGCCCUGGCAGUCAGAGGCGAUGAAGGACGUGCUAAUCUGCGAAAAGCGUCGGUAAGGUGAUAUGAACCGUUAUAGCCGGCGAUGUCCGAAUGGGGAAACCCAGUGCAAUUCGUUGCACUAUCGUUAACUGAAUACAUAGGUUAACGAGGCGAACCGGGGGAACUGAAACAUCUAAGUACCCCGAGGAAAAGAAAUCAACCGAGAUUCCCCCAGUAGCGGCGAGCGAACGGGGAGCAGCCCAGAGUCUGAAUCAGCUUGUGUGUUAGUGGAACGGUCUGGAAAGUCCGACGGUACAGGGUGAUAGUCCCGUACACCAAAAUGCACAGGCUGUGAACUCGAAGAGUAGGGCGGGACACGUGGUAUCCUGUCUGAAUAUGGGGGGACCAUCCUCCAAGGCUAAAUACUCCUGACUGACCGAUAGUGAACCAGUACCGUGAGGGAAAGGCGAAAAGAACCCCGGCGAGGGGAGUGAAAAAGAACCUGAAACCGUGUACGUACAAGCAGUGGGAGCACCUUCGGGUGUGACUGCGUACCUUUUGUAUAAUGGGUCAGCGACUUAUAUUCUGUAGCAAGGUUAACCGUAUAGGGGAGCCGCAGGGAAACCGAGUCUUAACUGGGCGUUAAGUUGCAGGGUAUAGACCCGAAACCCGGUGAUCUAGCCAUGGGCAGGUUGAAGGUUGGGUAACACUAACUGGAGGACCGAACCGACUAAUGUUGAAAAAUUAGCGGAUGACUUGUGGCUGGGGGUGAAAGGCCAAUCAAACCGGGAGAUAGCUGGUUCUCCCCGAAAGCUAUUUAGGUAGCGCCUCGUGAACUCAUCUUCGGGGGUAGAGCACUGUUUCGGCUAGGGGGUCAUCCCGACUUACCAACCCGAUGCAAACUACGAAUACCGAAGAAUGUUAUCACGGGAGACACACGGCGGGUGCUAACGUCCGUCGUGAAGAGGGAAACAACCCAGACCGCCAGCUAAGGUCCCAAAGUCAUGGUUAAGUGGGAAACGAUGUGGGAAGGCACAGACAGCCAGGAUGUUGGCUUAGAAGCAGCCAUCAUUUAAAGAAAGCGUAAUAGCUCACUGGUCGAGUCGGCCUGCGCGGAAGAUGUAACGGGGCUAAACCAUGCACCGAAGCUGCGGCAGCGACACUAUGUGUUGUUGGGUAGGGGAGCGUUCUGUAAGCCUGCGAAGGUGACCUGUGAGGGUUGCUGGAGGUAUCAGAAGUGCGAAUGCUGACAUAAGUAACGAUAAAGCGGGUGAAAAGCCCGCUCGCCGGAAGACCAAGGGUUCCUGUCCAACGUUAAUCGGGGCAGGGUGAGUCGACCCCUAAGGCGAGGCCGAAAGGCGUAGUCGAUGGGAAACAGGUUAAUAUUCCUGUACUUGGUGUUACUGCGAAGGGGGGACGGAGAAGGCUAUGUUAGCCGGGCGACGGUUGUCCCGGUUUAAGCAUGUAGGCUGGUUGUCCAGGCAAAUCCGGAUAAUCAAGGCUGAGGUGUGAUGACGAGGCACUACGGUGCUGAAGUAACAAAUGCCCUGCUUCCAGGAAAAGCCUCUAAGCAUCAGGUAACAUCAAAUCGUACCCCAAACCGACACAGGUGGUCAGGUAGAGAAUACCAAGGCGCUUGAGAGAACUCGGGUGAAGGAACUAGGCAAAAUGGUGCCGUAACUUCGGGAGAAGGCACGCUGGUGUGUAGGUGAAGCCCCUGCGGGUGGAGCUGAGACCAGUCGAAGAUACCAGCUGGCUGCAACUGUUUAUUAAAAACACAGCACUGUGCAAACACGAAAGUGGACGUAUACGGUGUGACGCCUGCCCGGUGCCGGAAGGUUAAUUGAUGGGGUUAUCCGUAAGGAGAAGCUCUUGAUCGAAGCCCCGGUAAACGGCGGCCGUAACUAUAACGGUCCUAAGGUAGCGAAAUUCCUUGUCGGGUAAGUUCCGACCUGCACGAAUGGCGUAAUGAUGGCCAGGCUGUCUCCACCCGAGACUCAGUGAAAUUGAACUCGCUGUGAAGAUGCAGUGUACCCGCGGCAAGACGGAAAGACCCCGUGAACCUUUACUAUAGCUUGACACUGAACAUUGAGCCUUGAUGUGUAGGAUAGGUGGGAGGCUUUGAAGCGUGGACGCCAGUCUGCGUGGAGCCAACCUUGAAAUACCACCCUUUAAUGUUUGAUGUUCUAACGUUGGCCCCUGACCGGGGUUGCGGACAGUGUCUGGUGGGUAGUUUGACUGGGGCGGUCUCCUCCCAAAGCGUAACGGAGGAGCACGAAGGUUAGCUAAUCCUGGUCGGACAUCAGGAGGUUAGUGCAAUGGCAUAAGCUAGCUUGACUGCGAGCGUGACGGCGCGAGCAGGUGCGAAAGCAGGUCAUAGUGAUCCGGUGGUUCUGAAUGGAAGGGCCAUCGCUCAACGGAUAAAAGGUACUCCGGGGAUAACAGGCUGAUACCGCCCAAGAGUUCAUAUCGACGGCGGUGUUUGGCACCUCGAUGUCGGCUCAUCACAUCCUGGGGCUGAAGUAGGUCCCAAGGGUAUGGCUGUUCGCCAUUUAAAGUGGUACGCGAGCUGGGUUUAGAACGUCGUGAGACAGUUCGGUCCCUAUCUGCCGUGGGCGCUGGAGAAUUGAGGGGGGCUGCUCCUAGUACGAGAGGACCGGAGUGGACGCAUCACUGGUGUUCGGGUUGUCAUGCCAAUGGCACUGCCCGGUAGCUAAAUGCGGAAGAGAUAAGUGCUGAAAGCAUCUAAGCACGAAACUUGCCCCGAGAUGAGUUCUCCCUGAGACUUUAAGUCUCCUGAAGGAACGUUGAAGACGACGACGUUGAUAGGCCGGGUGUGUAAGCGCAGCGAUGCGUUGAGCUAACCGGUACUAAUGAACCGUGAGGCUUAACCUU